Brienomyrus brachyistius is the source of this 2206-nucleotide long non-coding RNA. RefSeq lists it as uncharacterized. The record is from RefSeq and is a predicted model, not a curated record. Lineage: Eukaryota; Metazoa; Chordata; Actinopteri; Osteoglossiformes; Mormyridae. The transcript has 2 exons.
AGAUGGACGCAGCAGGGGAGAGAAGAGCAAAAACUAAACAAUAGGAAGGAACGUCCCCAUACCAUCGUCAGAGGAUGGACAUGGAGUGGGGGGGCAGAGGCAGGCUUCCAGAACUUUCUCUGUGAGGAAGUGACUGCGAGGCACCUGAAAGCGCAUCAACUGCUCCAUCGAUGUCUCCAUCCCGUCGUGGCUACCGACGGUAACUUGGUGCCCCCAGUACAGGGCUCUGCGAUGUGUGCUUGGUGGCCUAGUCGACCCAAAUAGCAGGUGGCAGAUCUGAGCUGUAAACAGAGACUCAUGUACUGCUGCAUGCGCAAAACGACACAAAUAUUGAGGCAGUGGAAUGGAGGCGAAGGUUGUUAAAGACUCUGAGGGCUACUGGAUCAUAUUCAGGCAAUGAAGCACAACGGAGCAGAUCAAGCGAAGUGACCAACCUUCACAGCUUCUAUCCUCAGGCCCAUCAUCCUUCUAAAUCCUUCUAAACAUGGACCCUUCUGACGUUAAACUGCUCCACUAUUUAAAACUUUUUUUGGUGCUAUGCUGCCCCCUGGUGACACUGCUGGUCAUUACAUGGGUUCUAGCACAAUGUGACAUGCAGAUGAAUCGAAUACAUUUUUACCUUUUAGACCAUCAUUCAAGCGGUGAAAUAUAUAGCAGAAUAGCGGAUUGUCUUAAGAAGCACUGCAUUAGAAUCAGUAUCAUUCAUUGGCAAAUUUCAGGAUUUUGUUUUGGUGCGGUUGAUGGAUUGACGUUUAUGUCAAUAAACUGACAUAAACUGAAAAUGGCUGAUAUAGUGUUUGCGGUGUCAUGCUUAUAUAUGUAGCCAGUCUUCACUGAUUGCACAUCCCAUCAGUGAGAGCAGAGAGUGAAGGUUGAAUUAGCAGAGCGAUAGCACAGCUGUACAAAAAAAACUGCCAUCCACACGACAUAACGGGAGACACAUCGGACUUCAGAAGAGGACAAAUGGUUGAUGCGCGUCUCACUGGCACAUCUGUGACUUGGACAGCAAGCUUUUGUGGUGAGAGCCACGGUAUCUAGGGUCAUGGUGACACACCACCCCGAAGGACGGACCACAUCCAGUAGGAGUAACUGUGGAUGCAAGAGGAAGCCGUCUGAAAGUGGAAUCCGGGCAGCAACCUGGGUUGUAUCCAAAAAACAUAAAACCGCAGCAGCUGAUCGGCUCACUGCAGAUUUAAAUGAACACAUCGACUUUCCAGUUUCCAGCAAAACUGUUCGUCAGAAGCUCCACGGGGUCAGUAUUCAUGGUCAGGCUGCUAUAGCCAAACCCAUGGUCACUCCUGCCAAUGCCAAACGCCGGUUUCAAUGUUGCCAAAUCUUGGGCUGCGGACAUUGCGAAAUAUAUUGCUCUCUGAUGAGCCCUGUCUUUCCAACAUCUGGGAGAGUUACGCUGUGGAGAAGCCCCAAAGAGGCCCUGCACCACACUAAUACAUUACCGUGGUCUAAAACCAGGUGUUUCAGCUUCAUUGUCUAUCCCCUGUAUAAAUAAAGGUGAGAGAAGCAGAUGUUGGAUACGGAUAGUUUUGGGGUAUGUGCAAAUAAGUUCAUGAAGUCAAAACAAACAGCACAGCAUAAGUGCUCUCUGUGUUCUGAAGUACAGCAUUUUGCCUGGUCACUAAACCCAGGACAGGCAUGCAUCAUUUUGCAUUUUCGGCCAAAAAGCCAGUAAUUAAGCAAAUAGUAAGAAUAAUGCAGUGUGUAAAAAGAUGUACAAGCUCAGAGGGUGGAUGUGAGGUCGAAAGCACUGAGGGAAGAAUUAAUCACCCCAAAGAACAAAGAGGUAUAAAAUGCCACUUUAAACUAGCAUGAGGGUGUUUGUCUCCAUCCUUCUAUCUAUCUAUCUAUCUAUCUAUCUAUCUAUCUAUCUAUCUAUCUAUCUAUCUAUCUGUCUAUCUAUCUGUCUGUCUGUCUGUCUGUCUGUCUGUCUAUUCUGCUCAUUUAAUGUAUUUAUUUGACUAUUCCUGGACUACUUUGGUCGAAUGAUAUUAUAGUAAUUUGCUUUAUAAAUAAGAUUGACAGAACUUAAUUUGACACCCCAAGCCCAAAUUCUCAGGAUUCAAGAUUCAACAUUUUAUUUUUUUCACACGCACAGUUAGGCUGGCACAGCUUGCGGUGAAAUGUAACUCCGGAUCGCUCCAGAGACCUUGCAAAAGAUGGACUUUAGAUAAAUAAAGGUUAGUAAAUAAGA